RNAcentral lists this long non-coding RNA (843 nucleotides) under Cercocebus atys (sooty mangabey). Its description in RNAcentral is "lncRNA (ENSCATG00000045861.1)". The record is from RNAcentral. Lineage: Eukaryota; Metazoa; Chordata; Mammalia; Primates; Cercopithecidae.
CGUGCAUGUGUGUGUGCACGUGCAUGUGUGUGUGUAAGUGUUGGCCUGGGGAACAAAAUUCAACUAGUUGCUUCCAUUUUGUCCUGAUAAAGUUUUUGAAAAAAAAAUUUUAAGAUAUGGAGAAAAUAUCUUUCCUUUCCCUUCCCUUUAUUUUUCAGGAUUGUUGACUUGCACCUCCCGUGCCGUGUUGCAGGUUUUGCAUCUGUUCAGUGUUUAUGAACCUCCUCUGUGGGCCAGCAUCUGUGUUUAAGACAACGGCAUCAAUCCAUGCAAAGUCUCAUUUCUUUCCAAGACUCUAUGCCUGUUUCAACUCCAUUUUCCAGAGGCACUCACGCUCAUAUGCUAUGCGCUAUAAAUGUAAUUCAUUAAUAUUUGCUGUGCAAUUUGAUUAAUAUUCUUGAAACAAAGAAGAAAUGGACCACAAGUUGAAGGGAUGGCCUUGUGCUAGAAAUCAUAACUACAAAACAGUGAACUCUAAGACCCUCCUGUGAAGUUGGUCAAUGUCAAGGAUGAGAAGGAAUGGCUUGGCUUCCAGACAGAAAACCAAAGUCAUCAAAAGUUGGAAAAGUGAGUCUGAUUUCACGUUCCUUAAGAAAACAUCUCUUUAAAGAGGUGUUAGAAAUGGAACCAGGGAUUCUAUGCUUGGUCAGCAGGCAUAUGAUGCUGUUUGAUAUUUUCUAACAUGAAUGAACCUUUUUGAAAAUACUACUGGAAUGAAAAAUGGAGUCAAGAGCUUAAUGAAAAUAAUAAACUCGGCAACGGUAGAAUUUGUAUGAAGGAGUGGGAUAGGUGUGGGCUGGUGGUGAUUUAUUUCACAUAGAAAGAACCAAAUUAAAAUCAUUG